Molecule: long non-coding RNA, 9945 nt
Filed under: Brassica napus (rape)
Lineage: Eukaryota; Viridiplantae; Streptophyta; Magnoliopsida; Brassicales; Brassicaceae
Description: long non-coding RNA (BNAP_LNC000837)
Source: RNAcentral
GGAGGGAGGGAGGAUUGCUGGAGCGAGAGAGCUACAGGCGUUCUGAUCGAUGCGUGGGGGAAGAUUCACAUGGAGCUGAGCAGAGGGAACCUGAAACAGAAGCACUGGGAAGAGGUGGCGGAGACGGUGAGAAGGAAGGCGGAGGAUAACGGUAAGACUCCCAAGACGGAUGUACAGUGCAAGAACAGGAUGGAUACGGUCAAGAAGAAGUAUAAGCAAGAGAAGUUAACACGUGGCCGUAGCAGCAGCUGGGUGUUCUUUGAUAAGCUUGACCGUUUGAUUGGUUCAACGGCCAAGAUCUCAUCUCCACCUCCUCCUAGAGGGUUGCUUAAGAUUCCUAUGGGGAAAAGUUGGAAUCUUUACCAUCGGCAAGGUGAGGCUGAAACGCCGCGUUUUGGGGAUAAGGCUAGGGUUAAAGCUGCUUCGAAGAGUUGGUUUGAUUCAGAUUCGGAGUCUGAAGCAACUAUGUCAGAGGACUCUGGAGAUCGUUUACCGCCUCCUCCUCUGUCGAAGAGGAAGCAAGGAGGAGGAAACACGUGGAGGGAGGUGAGUAGUGCCAUCAUGAGAUUUGGUGAAGCUUACGAGCAAAUAGAGAAUGCGAAGCUGCGACAGGUGGCUGAGAUGGAGAAAGAGAGGUUGAGGUUCUUUAAGGAGGUGGAGAUGCAGAGGAUGCAGUUCUUUGUGAAGAUUCAGUUUGAGUUGUCGCAGCUUAAGCAGCAAAGGGAGGAGAAUGGGAAACAAUAGUAAUAACAUGAAUGCGAUUGUCAACAAUAGCAACAACGAUGUUAGGAACUAGUAGAGUUUAGUGAUUUCAGUUCGUAUUUUAGAUUUGAGUUUUGAAAAUUGUUCAAAAGAAGAAACUUUAUUUUUAGGAUUUAUGAGUGUAUUAAUAUUUUACCAUUUUUUUGUUGAAAAGAAAAUUAGAUUUGAGUUUAAUUUGCUUUUCCGACAAGCUGUGACCGAACGGUAUAAUUUGAGGGGGAAUAAAAUUAUAAAACCAUUAAACGGUCUAAUUUUUCCAUAUCGGCACGUUUUAAACCCUCCAUAUUGAUAACCUGGUUGAUAGAAGCCUCCUUCAACCAAACCAAGCUUAUAGCAUUUCUUCACAAUCAUCAUCACAUAGAAGCUACUUGUAAGUCAAAAGAACACAUAUGAAUAUGAUGCAUAUAAGCACAGAUGAUUCAUCUUUUACUUGAUCGUUGAUUGACAAUUAGUUCUUGAGAAGUACCGAGCCUCCCAGGUCUAAUAUGAAAUCCCAGUGUAACCCUUAGUUGCUCUCUGUGCACCGUAUUUGAGGAUUCUGACUCUCAUAGUUGAGCACUUCAGCAAUUUGACGGAAAGCAAACACUCUAGACAGCUUAGAGGGUUCACAUGAUCCAAUGUUGCACGCUACACAAGAAAAGGACUAAUAGUAACUGUUGUCGUUUUGUGUUACCGACAGCCACGUCAGUGCUUUUUCUGUUUCAAUUUACUCGGAGACUUGAAAAAGUAGCUUUGAUCUCUCAAGUUCUGCUUCUACAUCAUCUGGAAUUUGUUUGCUGGAUCAUCCUUCAGACACAUGUGAGUACUUCUAAAGUCAGCUCUCUUUACAUCAUAUAUACUUCUUCUUUUUUGAGUAAGACAUCAUAUAUACUUUAUAUGAACAUUCUUUAAUGAUCGCAACCAAAGUAUAUCUAUUUCUUUUAGUUUCUUGUAAUUUAAAGAUUUAAGAUAGACGAAUCAAACAUGGUCGGAUCUGAUAUUUCGGGAGCUAUAAACAUUUUUAAGAACUUUAAUAAAAAAAUAUCAUAAUUUCGGGAGUCUAUAAUGUAAAAAAUUUGGAGGCCAAAACUAAUGGUUCAUAUGACUCAUCCGGCUUUGGUAAUGGAUCAUUGGUUUAGGCAUAGUUCUUGUCUCGUUAAAGAUCAAAUAAAAUGAUGGCAAUAAGGCCUCUUCAAGAAUGGUAAUUCUGUUUAGUCUUGUUGGAUCAUUUGUGUGAGUGUUCUUUCCUUUGAUAUGAUACUCUAGAUAGAUGGAUCAAAUCGUUAACGUGAAUGAGUUUCAAGAGCUGGCCAAAAGGGCUCUCCCCAAGAUGUACUUUGAUUUCUAUAGCGGAGGAGCAGAGGAUCAACACACUCUCAAGGAAAAUGUGGAAGCUUUCACUAGAAUCAUGUAACACACUCUCAAUAUGACAAUAUAUCUUUUUGGUUUCGUUGGCCCCGUUUUUUACCUGUGUGCUCAUGUGCUUUGAUGUUCAGGUUCCGUCCUCGGGUUCUCGUUGAUGUGAGCAAGAUAGAUAUGUCUACCAGAAUCUUAGGUUACCCAAUCUCAGCUCCAAUCAUGAUUGCUCCAACAGCAAUGCAUAUGUUGGCUCAUCCACAAGGUCUCUCUUUACUUUUUAUUGGUACAUGCAGCUGUUAUAUAUGGAAACUUAUUUUUAUUUGUCUCUUAUGUUAGGAGAAACCGCCACUGCAAAAGCUGCAGCUGCGUGUAACACUAUCAUGGUACUAAAGUGUUUACUGGAAUACAUGUUAUUGCAUUCUGUUUUGGGUCUUAAGGUGAUGAUUAUACUUCUUUUUUUUUGUGGUUGUGUGAGUUUCAGAUAGUAUCAUACAUGGCUUCAUGCACUAUUGAGGAAGUUGCUUCCAGUUGUAACGCUGUUCGGUUUCUUCAAAUAUAUGUAACUGCACAAUCUAGACAUUUUCAUCUGCUUUUGUUUAUUCUUUAGGCCUUGGUUCUUAGUUUGCUCUGAUAUAUCUUUAAUAGGUGUACAAGAGACGCGACGUAACUGCUCAGAUGGUGAAAAGAGCUGAGAAAGCUGGAUUCAAGGCCAUUGUUCUGACUGUUGAUGUUCCUAAAUUUGGCAGAAGGGAAGCAGAUAUAAAGAACAAGUAACAUUCUCCAUUACAACUUUUCUUAUCCUGUAUAUCUAACAAAUAACAUUCCUUCCUUUUCAACUUAGAAGUCGUUUAAAUAUUCAAUUGUCUUUAUUUGACUAUUAAAAAUUCUAUUGCAUUUAAGAUUUUUGAAAAAAAACUUAAUUAUGGGUAAAAAGAAUAAAUUAAUAGAAAAAUUGUAUCGAAAUCAUCAAAUGAUACUUAUUUUGUAAUGACAAGUACUACUUAGAAUGACGACAAAGGUAGUACUAGUUUUUUUUGUUGAAUGAUUCAAUGCUUCUGUUCUGUAGAAUGGUAUGCCCACAGCUGAGGAACUUCGAAGGUUUAAUUUCAACGGAAGUCCUACCUGUGAGUAGAGCUUGAAGUUAAGGUUCAUGUUAAGUAAAACCAUAACAUGUUGUUGACUUGAUAACUUUUUUUCUCAGAGUGAAGGUUCAGGGGUUGAAGCCUUAGCCUCUAGUACAUUUGAUGCUUCCUUAACUUGGAAGGUAAUAAUCUUUGUGAGUUCAUUAUGUUCGUGACCUUGAAUACUCCCAUGACAAUGGUAGAACAUUCCUUAUAAUGUUUGCAUUGGAAAACUUUAGGACAUCGAAUGGUUAAGGUCUAUUACAAAGUUGCCAAUUAUGGUUAAGGGGAUACUCACCCGUGAAGACGGUAAGGUUCUUGUGUCAUACUCUGAUCUAUAUAUAACUAUAUAGCUUGUAUCAUAUUAUGAUAUUUUUGAUGAUAUGUUCAGCUCUUAGGGCUAUUGAAGCUGGUGUAGAUGGAAUAGUUGUAUCAAACCAUGGGGCCCGCCAGCUUGACUAUUCACCAGCUACUAUAACUGUUUUAGAAGAGGUAAAAAACCCAUCAAAGCUUUUGCGUAAGACCAAACUUAUUCUUCUUUAUGAACACAAUGGUCUUCUUUUUGAAACUGCAGAUUGUUCAUGUUGUUGGAGGGAGGGUACCGGUUUUGCUUGAUGGAGGUGUGAGACGAGGAACAGAUGUUUUCAAAGCGUUGGCACUAGGAGCACAAGCUGUUCUUGUAAGCUUUAAAAUGCUGAGGAUUUGGACAUUUGGCACAUAUCUUUCAGGUUGCUCUAUGUUGAUGUAAUGACGCAAUUUGGUUGGAUUAUGCAGAUAGGGAGGCCUGUAGUCUAUGGGCUUGCAGCUAAAGGUGAAGAUGGAGUGAGAAAAGUGAUUGACAUGUUGAAAAAUGAGUUGGAGUUAACUAUGGCUCUUUCUGGUUGUCCCACCAUUGAUGACAUAACCAGAAACAAUGUUAGGACUGAGAGUGAGAGACUUAAAUCUAUGCUCUGAUCCUCAAAGACAUUUGUGGAAAGUGAUUGGUCUUUGUGUUGUUUAUAUGAACGCCUAUGAGAGAAGGAUUUUCAGAAAGAUUGUAUCACGUUGUAUACAGUUUCAUAAGUGAAAUUCUCUGGUCUGAAACGAAAACACAGCUACGGCGCCAUUUCCACGACCAAAGUAGAUUACUAAGAUUAAUACGCAGAAGAUUAAUACGCACGAACUGAAUGCUCUGAUACCAGUUUUAGAGUUUUACAUGGAAGCAUGUAAUAAUGAACACAAAUAUUAGCCUAAUUUAGUGAUCAUUAUGAGUUCGUAUGCACGAAUCGGGCAGAAUCCACAGACGAAAAUCUACCACUUAUUACCAUCAAAACUUGUGUUUCUUCUAUUCCAAAUGUGAUUAGAUAAACAAGUGUGUCAUCAUGGCUGAGAGGGAUAAAUAUAUAUAUACUAAAUUAAAAUCUCCUACACUAUAUAUACAUACAAUCACUAUUCAUUUUGAACUUGAUGCUGAGAAUGGGAGGCAGGUAUCUAACAAUAAUAAAAGGGGAAUAAGAUCAACAUCUAAGCUGUCCACAUAAGCAUAAAAAAUCAACCUAUCACAAAGCUUUAAGUUGCCACAUCAGCUCGACCUGUCCUACUUCUUCGUUGCGAACAAGUCGAUGAUUGAAACUAAUCGUCUCUUCAUCUUUCUUUUCAUUUCAAUGCAUCAUUUAAUUAUAGUCUGUUUGUCUCCCUCUCCACUUCAAAUCCCUAAAUCCCCAAGCAUCACCCUAUCUAUUGUAUUCCCGUCUCUCUCUGUCAACGGCUCCACAUUCUGGAAAUCAAAACCCACCGCAUCCAUGGCUAACAACAAGGCAAAAUCAACUGUUUUUCAGAAAAAAGAAUCUAUACAUACAAAAAGUAAAAAUUUUAAUAGUAUUCUAUGUUGUUUAUGUAUACUUUAUAUUAUUUUCUGUUUGUAGCUUAUGACAAAAGCUAUGAAUCAUGAACUGUGACAAGGUGAAGUAUUUAGUGGACAGAGGCUGCGUUUUGGGAAUCAUAGCAAGGAUUCUCAACAAUGGCGGCCACUCCUUCUCACAGCCUUCUCACGAAGAACUAUCACUGUCGUUCAAAACCACCAGCUCCCUGAACCUUUGUUCAUUCAUCUUCUGGAGAAAAGAUCCCGAGUAGCUACGAAAGCUUCUCUCUCUAGAACCAACGAGGCGUUUUUAUCCGCCGUCAUCUCCAGGCUCGAGCGUGAACAGCAAGGAUUAACCGACGGCAGUGGAGAACAGUGGCAUACGGCGGAGGCUUUCCGCCGGCGCGAUAAGAAAACCGAGGAAGAGAGGAGGCUUAGAGACACGUGGCGUAAGAUCCAAGGAGAAGACGAUUGGGCCGGGUUAACGGACCCGAUGGACCCGGUUCUCAGAUCGGAGAUGAUCCGGCGAAAUGGCUCAGGCCUGUUACGACGCCUUCGACUUCGAUCCUUCCUCGACGGCAACCCACGUCGAGUGUAAUCUUCACUUUGGUCACACAUUGGGUCUGUUGAUUUUUGAAAGUAUUUGACCUUACAUUAGUUCUGUGUUUUGAUUUAGGUUGGCCUCUAAAUGUAUAAUGUCUCCAUUUAGAUCCGACGUGGGUUGCUGGUUCGAUGAGGCUCUGAGAACUCAAGCAGUGCUAUUGGAGGCAGGCUUUCUGAAUAUCUUUGGUCAGUGUCAAGUUUCUUGAUCUCUUAUGGAUGCAGUUUUUAUACUUUUUUGCUAUGUACAGAGAAAUGAGUUCUUAUAAGCAUUGUUCUAUUGGAUCAACACUCACACCUGAUGCAAAAUGAUAUUUUUUGUAAACAUCAAUUUUUUACUGCACGUCCAAGGUAUAAUACAAUCUCGCAAGAUCCAUAUAUGCAUGUUGGUUAACGUCAAGAUUUCUAACUGCAAAUUUGUGGAGAAUGUUUUUUCGAACAUUGGUAGACUAAUAUUUUAUAUGGAGAGGAGAAAGCGAGUGCAAUUGUUGCUUCAUAUUAUUGCCAUUAGUUCAAUGCAGCUAUAUGGAGAGGAGCAGGUGACUGCAAUUGCAAGCAAGAAGCUCACCUGAGAAGGCAGUUAGUUCAUCACAAUGUCAGUAGAAAGUAGAAGCUGACCAGAAGAAAGAAGGUGAUGAUGAAAUCUACCUGCGAUCAAUAGCCCCAUGAGACCAACAUCCUUGAGAGGAACACUCUGCACUCUCUCGCUUCAAAGCUAACAACAAAUCUCUAAGGUAAUUUCUGAACUAAUCUCCUAAUCAUAUAUCUUUCUUUUUGUUUGGUCAAAAUCUCCUAAUCAUAUAUCUAUAUUCUAACUUAAAGAGUGGAAACAAAAAAUAAAGUGGACUAGGGUAGGCGUUUUUAUCCGCCGUCAUCUCCAGGCUCGAGCGUGAACAGCAAGGAUUAACCGACGGCAGUGGAGAACAGUGGCAUACGGCGGAGGCUUUCCGCCGGCGCGAUAAGAAAACCGAGGAAGAGAGGAGGCUUAGAGACACGUGGCGUAAGAUCCAAGGAGAAGACGAUUGGGCCGGGUUAACGGACCCGAUGGACCCGGUUCUCAGAUCGGAGAUGAUCCGGCGAAAUGGCUCAGGCCUGUUACGACGCCUUCGACUUCGAUCCUUCCUCGACGGCAACCCACGUCGAGUGUAAUCUUCACUUUGGUCACACAUUGGGUCUGUUGAUUUUUGAAAGUAUUUGACCUUACAUUAGUUCUGUGUUUUGAUUUAGGUUGGCCUCUAAAGGUAUAAUGUCUCCAUUUAGAUCCGACGUGGGUUGCUGGUUCGAUGAGGCUCUGAGAACUCAAGCAGUGCUAUUGGAGGCAGGCUUUCUGAAUAUCUUUGGUCAGUGUCAAGUUUCUUGAUCUCUUAUGGAUGCAGUUUUUAUACUUUUUUGCUAUGUACAGAGAAAUGAGUUCUUAUAAGCAUUGUUCUAUUGGAUCAACACUCACACCUGAUGCAAAAUGAUAUUUUUUGUAAACAUCAAUUUUUUACUGCACGUCCAAGGUAUAAUACAAUCUCGCAAGAUCCAUAUAUGCAUGUUGGUUAACGUCAAGAUUUCUAACUGCAAAUUUGUGGAGAAUGUUUUUUCGAACAUUGGUAGACUAAUAUUUUAUAUGGAGAGGAGAAAGCGAGUGCAAUUGUUGCUUCAUAUUAUUGCCAUUAGUUCAAUGCAGCUAUAUGGAGAGGAGCAGGUGACUGCAAUUGCAAGCAAGAAGCUCACCUGAGAAGGCAGUUAGUUCAUCACAAUGUCAGUAGAAAGUAGAAGCUGACCAGAAGAAAGAAGGUGAUGAUGAAAUCUACCUGCGAUCAAUAGCCCCAUGAGACCAACAUCCUUGAGAGGAACACUCUGCACUCUCUCGCUUCAAAGCUAACAACAAAUCUCUAAGGUAAUUUCUGAACUAAUCUCCUAAUCAUAUAUCUUUCUUUUUGUUUGGUCAAAAUCUCCUAAUCCGGCCAUUGCACAAGUCGUUUAUCUCCAUCGUUUGGACUUGACAUAGCGCUUCAGAGAAAGGGAAUAGAGUUUUCAUAAAUCAUUAUUGUUUUUUUUUAUGUUGUGUUAGUUCUCAGUUAGGUCAAUUUCUCAAAUGAAAAAUAAGUUUUUGAAAUUAAGAUACAUAUAAAUGUACAUUUUAAACUUUGUCAAAAUAUCAUAACAAAUACAUUUCGCUUUCCGUAAUUGUUAAACGGCAAUGUUGUUCAUGUUUCGUUUGCGGCUUCGUAUUUCCUUUCUUUUUGUAUUGUCUAAAUUUAUUCUUCCAAAAAAUCUUGGUUCGUACACUACUUUUUCUCUGUAUGUAUUUAUUUAGCAAAUUUUUAAUCCAUUCAUAAGUCUACCACCAAAAAGUAGAAAUUAUUUACUCUAUUAUCAUCAAGAUUAUAAUUAAAACAAAACAAAAAACAUACAGACAAUAUACAAAAAUUAAAAUACAGAAAAAAUAUUUAAUCUAUUUUCUAUUUCAAGAAGAUAUGUUACUUAAAUUUGCCGGUCUAAAAAUAUGAUGGAUAUAAAAAACCAAUUCAAUGAUUUAAGAUUUGAAAUCGCUUCUUUAAUUUCUUGAACAUAUACAUAAUUGAUCUAUUUUAAAAAUAAUGAACAUUAUUAUAUAAUAUUAUAUUUUAUAUGUUUUUUUAUUUGGUGUAUGUUUUAAAUUAUUAUCUUUUAUUAAACUUAAUAUUGCACCAUGAAACGAAUAAAUAUAGUCUCAGUUCUGAGACUAUUAUUCAACAAUCAACUCCAAAGAAAACUCCCAAACCUAUAAUAAUACUUUGAAAUGCAUUAUCAAACAAUUGUUAUUCCGAUGCAUUUACUUAUGAUGAAUUUUUGAUAAUUUUAAACUAUGUUGAAAGUCAUAUAUACAAAUAAUAUUAUUAAACUUACAAAAUUUAACAGAAAAUAACCUAAAAUAUCUUAUUUUGUAGUGAUAAGUACUAUUAUUUUUCCGCUUUACAUAAUAAAACAUAUUUUACAAAAAACAAGACUCUGUCUAACAAUAAAGAAAAAUUGAAAUUAAAUUCCCCAUUUUAUAUCAAUAAACCAAGCACAAAACAAUGAAAUUAUUAAGUUGAACUGGUCAAAUAAAAACAAAUCUCCCCAGUUUGAUGCAAUAAUUUACAUAUGAAAAAACAUGAUUAAAUUUAAAAUAUAAAUUACUAUGAAAGUAUGUGAAAAAUAUUACUCGCUUCAAUAUUUGAAAAAAAAAUUUUACUAACACCACUAUUGAUGUUGUUUGCAGCUUCAGAAUAGGUCAAAAAUAAUACAAAUCAAAUCAUUUUGAGGCAUUAUUAAAAUCACAAAAGAGUAUACAAGAUCAUAACUAAAUCAAAAAGCAAUAAAAAAAUCCAAAGUAUCUUAAUAUGCUUUAAUGUUGAAGACAUUUUUUCGGUUUAUUAAUUCUAAAUUAUGUUAAAAUAUAAAAAAAUAAACAUCAAUAAAAUUAUUGAAGAAAAUUUAGAGACUGACCAACCAAAAACACUUACGCAAAUAAUAAUUUAUUAAGUUAAUAUUGGGAAAAUGAGACAUGCAAAAAGAAAAAAAAACAAUACACUAAAUAUAAAAUAAAACAAAAACUAAUUAAAACGUUAUAUAGUUAUACUAAUUUAAAAUACAUAAUCCGCGCGUAGCGCGGAAAAAGAAUCUAGUAUGAUUAAAGAAGAAGAAGAAGAAUCAUGCAUUGAUUUUAAAGAAGUGCUUUAAAUUAGAGUUAAGAAACUCAUAGCGUUUAGUGGGGCUGCAAGUUUACCGGUGACUGAAACCUUUAUCCAAUCACAUCCUUACACGUCAGACUCCCCGUAUCGUUAUUCCACGUGUCCCCCCCCCUUCUCACCGACGCCGUCUCCUUUUCCGUUAACUCCCCCCGAACAAAGAUCAUUAUGCUGCAAACCCUAACCCUAUCUCCUUCUCACGAUGGCCGACGACGAAGACCAGAUCCGAUCUCACUCCGAUUCACCCGAUCCGUCUUCUUCUUCGCCGCCGCCGUCGGGAAAAGUCACGGUUACGGUGGCUUUCCCAGGUCCGCCUCAAAAAACUCCCGACGCGUCGCCUCUUGCGCUGCUUCCGAUCAAAUCCAGCGGCGGCGGAGGGAGGGAGGAUUGCUGGAGCGAGAAGGCUACGGGCGUUCUGAUCGAUGCGUGGGGGGAGAUUCACAUGGAGCUGAGCAGAGGGAACCUGAAACAGAAGCACUGGGAGAAGGUGGCGGAGACGGUGAGAAGGAAGGAGGAGGAUAACGGUAAGACUCCCAAGACGGAUGUACAGUGCAAGAACAGGAUCGAUACGGUUAAGAAGAAG